CGUAGGGUGCGAGCGUUAAUCGGAAUUACUGGGCGUAAAGCGUGCGCAGGCGGUUUUGUAAGACAGGUGUGAAAUCCCCGGGCUUAACCUGGGAACUGCGCUUGUGACUGCAAGACUCGAGUACGGCAGAGGGGGGUAGAAUUCCACGUGUAGCAGUGAAAUGCGUAGAGAUGUGGAGGAAUACCGAUGGCGAAGGCAGCCCCCUGGGUCGAUACUGACGCUCAUGCACGAAAGCGUGGGGAGCAAACAGGAUUAGAUACCCUGGUAGUCCACGCCCUAAACGAUGCGAACUAGGUGUUGGGGAAGGAGACUUCUUUAGUACCGUAGCUAACGCGUGAAGUUCGCCGCCUGGGGAGUACGGUCGCAAGAUUA
This 372-nucleotide ribosomal RNA is filed under the name uncultured organism. RNAcentral describes it as "bacterial SSU rRNA". It matches the Rfam family "Bacterial small subunit ribosomal RNA", at positions 526 to 896 of the family's 1533-position model. The record is from RNAcentral.